UUAGGUGGAUAAUCAAGCAUUCGACGUCUAUAUCCAGGGUCUGCAUGAAGAUUAGCCAAUAUUUCAUCCAACUCAGUGGGCUCACUUUGUUGUGAACUACUCGGAAUAUUCGAAGGAGGACUUCUUGGAAUAUUUGAAGGAGGAGAAGGAUGACUACUUGAAAUAUUUGAAGGAGAAGGACUACCCAAAAUGUUUGAAGGAGGAUUUAAGCAUUGUUUCUUAUAGUAUCGUUCCAUUACGUAACUGUAAAAUGGAAAGAAAAAUUUUUCUUAGACUCUUAAUCCUAGAGUAGACUAUACUAAUAUGCAUAAUAACCCAACCAACAAUUCAAUUAAUCAAUACCAAUAAGCAUAUAAAUUAUUCAUUAAAUAAAAAAUUCAUUCAACUAAUCAUAUGAAUACAACUAAUCAAAAAUUCAAAUUU
Molecule: long non-coding RNA, 423 nt
Filed under: Malus domestica (apple)
Lineage: Eukaryota; Viridiplantae; Streptophyta; Magnoliopsida; Rosales; Rosaceae
Description: long non-coding RNA (MDOM_LNC005041)
Source: RNAcentral